RNAcentral lists this ribosomal RNA (253 nucleotides) under uncultured bacterium. Its description in RNAcentral is "partial 16S ribosomal RNA". It matches the Rfam family "Bacterial small subunit ribosomal RNA", at positions 524 to 776 of the family's 1533-position model. The record is from RNAcentral.
UACAGAGGGGGCAAGCGUUGUUCGGAAUUACUGGGCAUAAAGGGCGCGUAGGCGGCCCGCUAAGUCGAACGUGAAAUCCCCGGGCUCAACCCGGGAACUGCGUCCGAUACUGGUGGGCUUGAAUCCGGGAGAGGGAUGCGGAAUUCCAGGUGUAGCGGUGAAAUGCGUAGAUAUCUGGAGGAACACCGGUGGCGAAGGCGGCAUCCUGGACCGGUAUUGACGCUGAGGCGCGAAAGCCAGGGGAGCAAACGGG